Ochotona curzoniae (black-lipped pika) is the source of this 2483-nucleotide long non-coding RNA. RefSeq lists it as uncharacterized. The record is from RefSeq and is a predicted model, not a curated record. The transcript has 3 exons. NCBI's taxonomy places the organism in Eukaryota, Metazoa, Chordata, Mammalia, Lagomorpha, Ochotonidae.
UAUCAUUAGGAAGCUGGAUUGGAGGUCAAAUAGCCAGAAUUGGAACCUGGCACUCUGAUAGGAUAUGCGGGGUUCCUAAUUAGUGUCCUGAGCAACACCCACCCCACUGUGCGUGAUUCGGCUCUCCGUAAGCUGUGAUCUAUCAGCACGUUGACUUUUCUCCCCUGGGAGAAUCUGUUGGAUUCUCUUGCACUAACUUGCAGGAAGAGUGUAAACUUGUACGAAAGGUGGCCCUUUUCUUCAGUAUAGCCUUUCUGCACUUUAGCUAGUGAAAUUUUUUUCCAAGAUGUUGUUGUCAGUUUCCAGUGCUACUGUAGGUUUUCCUUUGUUCUUAAAUUCUGUUAUUUCAGUGGAAAUCAUGGGUAUCUGAUUUGAAAAGCAUGGGUCAGUUCCCUUUUGAAAGUUAUUUGUGUGGCCGUCUUUUUCUUGAUGUCUGUGCAUGUAUGCCAAGUGAUCUUUUUUCUCUCUGCUUUCUGCUUUCAUUUUCACCCCUCUAAGUUGUUUCAUUUUCUUAGAUCACUUAUGUGUCACUGAAAUAUUAGAGGACACUCUUUACCUUGUUUUAUGUUUUUUUUUUCCCCCCACGAUGUUUCCUCUUUGGUUUUCAUUUUUUCUUGUCAUAUAGUUUCUAUAUUUUGUUCAUGUCUGUCUUUAAUAGGAAUUAUUUCAGUGUUAUGACCUUAAAAAAGGUUUCAAACCACCGAUGAGACUUAAUUUAAUUACCAAAUUAAAAAAAGUAUACAGUAUUUGCACUACAGGAAGCACUUAGGAUAUUUAAGUCAAUUCUAUAGAUAAACAUGAUUAUUGUUAAAUUAUUAUUUUAUAUUGCAUAUUCUCCUUUUCAGUAUUUUAAAAUAUUUAUGGGAGAGAGAGAGAACCAUAAACCUUACCUAUAAACUCACUUGCCAAAUGUCCGCAACAACUGGGGCUGGGUUGAUUUGAAAUCAGGAAUUAAAAAAUCAACUCAGGUCUCCCAUGUGGAGGGCAGGAUCUUACUACUGUUUCCCAGAGUCUGCUUAAGUAGAACUGGUGUCAGCUGGAGCCAGGAAUUGAACCCAGGUGCUCCAAGUGGGACAACGAAGUCCUAAUCAGGGUCUUUGCUUAUAUGGAUUUUUAUUUUUGUCACUUAAUUAUGUACAGAUGCUGCAUUCUGUAAUUAGCACAAAUUGAUCUUGACUUCACCAUCCUUAAGGGCAUAUUGGUUUAUGUAGCAUUUUCCUAAAGUCCACCUUGAAUUGGUGUCUUUUUUAAUUUCAUUUUUGGCAGGGGAGGAAACUUUGCUCUAAAAACUUCUGUUAUCUGAGAGAAUUAAAGACUAUCAGAUGACAUGUUAACUUUACCUCGCAGAAAAACAUUUAAUUGAUGCAAGUAUUCCAGAAAAGCACAAUUAGGCUGGGCAAUUUCUGUAGCAUAAUCUGAAUGGAAAUAAUAUAAAUAUGAAUAUAAAAAUGCUAUAUAGCAUAACAAUCAGAACAGUGGAAUUUACUGGCAUUCAGAUGACAGAUUAAUAAUAGUCACAAAGUUAUUUCUGAGAGUUCAAGAACCUCUAAUGCUGUAGAUAAUUCUUGAAGUCAUAAUGUGAGUUUAACUUCAAGACUUGGAACAGUUUCAUCUUUGCAUGAGAGCAUGUGAUUCUGGCAAUUUUGGUUAAAUUAGAACCGUAUUUUGUAACUCUUACUGAAUCAUUGAGCUGAUGCAUGUUAAAAUAGAUUUUUACUGAAGCAAUGGAUUUAAAAACUUUAUGCACAUUUACAUCUUUUUAUUUCCUCUUUCCUCUUCCUUUUUAAAUUUUCAGUAAAGAUAGAAACUAAAUGAGCACUUUGCCAGGGGCAUGUAAAAAUAUUAUUGCUUUUUACUCUUCCAAGAGUUUAUUUGUGUUAUUUUUGAUAUACAUUGUGCUGAUGAACUGAUUAAUUGGAUAUCAAUUAAUUUGCCCAGGAUUUCUCAGCUGGCUAAGUGAUAACCAGACUUCAGAUGCAGUUUUUACUCUUCCUGCAUAUUACAAGGCCUAGAAACAGUAAAGGGCUUAGUCCUAUGACCUCUAGGACCCAAUGCCCAAAGAGGGCGAAGAUGGAAGUGCCGACAUUACAGUUCAAUUAUAUUACAAAAUCUAUUGAGCCUUCAUUUUAUAGAGAUGAAUGAUCGCUGCCUGCUUUCAAGGAGUUUUAAGUGAGGCAGUUUUAGAAACCUAAAGUUCUAAACUGUAAAGGUACGUAUAAUACUGGAGAUGAUAAUUUCUUAUAAGGUAGAAAGUAGCGUAGGGAAAGAAGUGACUCAUUUUCUAGUGGAAGUGUUGGGGCAAAGGAAGUGAGGAAUAGCAGAGAAAGAGAUGAUAUCUAAAUAUGUCUUAUAUAUAAAAGUACCUUGCCCAGAGUUGGUAAUGUCUUCCAGUGGAUUUGGAAGUUAAACAGUAUCUGUUCUGUUUAUAAUAUGAGGGAUAUGGUUGGUGUGGUGUUGGUAGAAGGUGUUUUGCCUUGGGCUGU